This 438-nucleotide ribosomal RNA is filed under the name uncultured bacterium. RNAcentral describes it as "partial 16S ribosomal RNA". It matches the Rfam family "Bacterial small subunit ribosomal RNA", at positions 339 to 795 of the family's 1533-position model. The record is from RNAcentral.
CUACGGGUCGCUCCAGUGAGGAAUAUUGCACAAUGGGGGGAACCCUGAUGCAGCAACGCCGCGUGGAGGAUGACGCAUUUCGGUGUGUAAACUCCUUUUAUAUGUCAAGAAAAUGACGGUAGCAUAUGAAUAAGCACCGGCUAACUCCGUGCCAGCAGCCGCGGUAAUACGGAGGGUGCAAGGUUACUCGGAAUCACUGGGCGUAAAGGACGCGUAGGCGGGUUGGAAAGUCAGGUGUGAAAUCCUACAGCUUAACUGUAGAACUGCACUUGAAACCUCUAAUCUAGAGUAUGGGAGGGGGAGAUGGAAUUAGUGGUGUAGGGGUAAAAUCCGUAGAUAUCACUAGGAAUACCUAAAGCGAAGGCGAUCUCCUGGAACAUUACUGACGCUAAGGCGUGAAAGCGUGGGGAGCAAACAGGAUUAGAUACCCUGGUAGUC